CAGCCUACGGGGGGCAGCAGUGAGGAAUAUUGGUCAAUGGGCGGGAGCCUGAACCAGCCAAGCCGCGUGAGGGAAGAAGGUACAGCGUAUCGUAAACCUCUUUUGUCAGGGAACAAAGGCGGGGACUAGUCUCCGGAUGAGGGUACCUGAAGAAAAAGCAUCGGCUAACUCCGUGCCAGCAGCCGCGGUAAUACGGAGGAUGCGGGCGUUAUCCGGAUUUAUUGUGUUUAAAGGGGGCGCAGGCGGCCUGUUAAGUCAGCGGUA
RNAcentral lists this ribosomal RNA (264 nucleotides) under uncultured bacterium. RNAcentral describes it as "partial 16S ribosomal RNA". It matches the Rfam family "Bacterial small subunit ribosomal RNA", at positions 332 to 596 of the family's 1533-position model. The record is from RNAcentral.